CAUUUAAAGAGUGCGUAAUAGCUCACUAGUCGAGUGACACUGCGCCGAAAAUGUACCGGGGCUAAACAUAUUACCGAAGCUGUGGAUUGUCCUUUGGACAAUGGUAGGAGAGCGUUCUAAGGGCGUUGAAGCAUGAUCGUAAGGACAUGUGGAGCGCUUAGAAGUGAGAAUGCCGGUGUGAGUAGCGAAAGACGGGUGAGAAUCCCGUCCACCGAUUGACUAAGGUUUCCAGAGGAAGGCUCGUCCGCUCUGGGUUAGUCGGGUCCUAAGCUGAGGCCGACAGGCGUAGGCGAUGGAUAACAGGUUGAUAUUCCUGUACCACCUAUAAUCGUUUUAAUCGAUGGGGGGACGCAGUAGGAUAGGCGAAGCGUGCGAUUGGAUUGCACGUCUAAGCAGUAAGGCUGAGUAUUAGGCAAAUCCGGUACUCGUUAAGGCUGAGCUGUGAUGGGGAGAAGACAUUGUGUCUUCGAGUCGUUGAUUUCACACUGCCGAGAAAAGCCUCUAGAUAGAAAAUAGGUGCCCGUACCGCAAACCGACACAGGUAGUCAAGAUGAGAAUUCUAAGGUGAGCGAGCGAACUCUCGUUAAGGAACUCGGCAAAAUGACCCCGUAACUUCGGGAGAAGGGGUGCUCUUUAGGGUUAACGCCCAGAAGAGCCGCAGUGAAUAGGCCCAAGCGACUGUUUAUCAAAAACACAGGUCUCUGCUAAACCGUAAGGUGAUGUAUAGGGGCUGACGCCUGCCCGGUGCUGGAAGGUUAAGAGGAGUGGUUAGCUUCUGCGAAGCUACGAAUCGAAGCCCCAGUAAACGGCGGCCGUAACUAUAACGGUCCUAAGGUAGCGAAAUUCCUUGUCGGGUAAGUUCCGACCCGCACGAAAGGCGUAACGAUUUGGGCACUGUCUCAACGAGAGACUCGGUGAAAUCAUAGUACCUGUGAAGAUGCAGGUUACCCGCGACAGGACGGAAAGACCCCGUGGAGCUUUACUGUAGCCUGAUAUUGAAAUUCGGCACAGCUUGUACAGGAUAGGUAGGAGCCUUUGAAACGUGAGCGCUAGCUUACGUGGAGGCGCUGGUGGGAUACUACCCUAGCUGUGUUGGCUUUCUAACCCGCACCACUUAUCGUGGUGGGAGACAGUGUCAGGCGGGCAGUUUGACUGGGGCGGUCGCCUCCUAAAAGGUAACGGAGGCGCUCAAAGGUUCCCUCAGAAUGGUUGGAAAUCAUUCAUAGAGUGUAAAGGCAUAAGGGAGCUUGACUGCGAGACCUACAAGUCGAGCAGGGUCGAAAGACGGACUUAGUGAUCCGGUGGUUCCGCAUGGAAGGGCCAUCGCUCAACGGAUAAAAGCUACCCCGGGGAUAACAGGCUUAUCUCCCCCAAGAGUUCACAUCGACGGGGAGGUUUGGCACCUCGAUGUCGGCUCAUCGCAUCCUGGGGCUGUAGUCGGUCCCAAGGGUUGGGCUGUUCGCCCAUUAAAGCGGUACGCGAGCUGGGUUCAGAACGUCGUGAGACAGUUCGGUCCCUAUCCGUCGUGGGCGUAGGAAAUUUGAGAGGAGCUGUCCUUAGUACGAGAGGACCGGGAUGGACAUACCUCUGGUGUACCAGUUGUCGUGCCAACGGCAUAGCUGGGUAGCUAUGUGUGGACGGGAUAAGUGCUGAAAGCAUCUAAGCAUGAAGCCCCCCUCAAGAUGAGAUUUCCCAACUUCGGUUAUAAGAUCCCUCAAAGAUGAUGAGGUUAAUAGGUUCGAGGUGGAAGCAUGGUGACAUGUGGAGCUGACGAAUACUAAUCGAUCGAAGACUUAAUCAA
This 1801-nucleotide ribosomal RNA is filed under the name Staphylococcus aureus. RNAcentral describes it as "partial 23S ribosomal RNA". It matches the Rfam family "Bacterial large subunit ribosomal RNA", at positions 1120 to 2925 of the family's 2925-position model. Lineage: Bacteria; Bacillati; Bacillota; Bacilli; Caryophanales; Staphylococcaceae. The record is from RNAcentral.